UACGUAGGUGGCGAGCGUUGUCCGGAAUUACUGGGCGUAAAGGGCGCGUAGGCGGAUAUUUAAGUCAGAUGUGAAAACUCCGGGCUCAACUUGGAGAUUGCAUUUGAAACUGGGUAUCUUGAGGACAGGAGAGGAAAGCGGAAUUCCUAGUGUAGCGGUGAAAUGCGUAGAUAUUAGGAGGAACACCGGUGGCGAAGGCGGCUCUCUGGAAUCCUGCUGACGCUGAGGCGCGAAAGCCGGGGGAGCAAACAGGAUUAGAUACCCCGGUAGUCCCU
RNAcentral lists this ribosomal RNA (275 nucleotides) under uncultured prokaryote. Its description in RNAcentral is "partial 16S ribosomal RNA". It matches the Rfam family "Bacterial small subunit ribosomal RNA", at positions 524 to 798 of the family's 1533-position model. The record is from RNAcentral.